This 272-nucleotide long non-coding RNA is filed under the name Fukomys damarensis (Damara mole-rat). Its description in RNAcentral is "lncRNA (ENSFDAG00000027414.1)". Lineage: Eukaryota; Metazoa; Chordata; Mammalia; Rodentia; Bathyergidae. The record is from RNAcentral.
CGGGGGAGUUCUCAGAAAUUCUGAAGAGGCAUGGAAAAGGCAAAUAAUGAGACCAGUCCUGUGUUUCUGUCCCGAAGCCAUACUCUCAGUGAGAAUGUUCCAGCAAGCUACUCAGCAUGCGAAGAAGAAUGCCGUUGGAACCAUUUGAUUUUUGGAAUGCUAUCAAUUUUAAUGCGAGUGGGCAAAGAGAACAAAAGAAAUGUAAUCAUACCUUGAACAAGAUCUUUGAUCACUUAAUUGAUGAAUUAAAGACUCAAAGGCCAUGCACCAGG